ACUUAGCCCUCCUAAUCCACGAAGUAGCCUCUUCAUCCAUCUCUAAGCUCGAAAACAAACUAAACAACCUUUUUAUCAAAGACUAAACAACCAAAACUCUCAAUAUCUCCAAAGUACCUAAGCAAACCCGUGAA
RNAcentral lists this small RNA (134 nucleotides) under Arabidopsis thaliana (thale cress). Its description in RNAcentral is "ATSL302100". Lineage: Eukaryota; Viridiplantae; Streptophyta; Magnoliopsida; Brassicales; Brassicaceae. The record is from RNAcentral.